This 180-nucleotide ribosomal RNA is filed under the name Pseudomonas putida. RNAcentral's name for it is "partial 16S ribosomal RNA". It matches the Rfam family "Bacterial small subunit ribosomal RNA", at positions 1 to 180 of the family's 1533-position model. Lineage: Bacteria; Pseudomonadati; Pseudomonadota; Gammaproteobacteria; Pseudomonadales; Pseudomonadaceae. The record is from RNAcentral.
GAACUGAAGAGUUUGAUCAUGGCUCAGAUUGAACGCUGGCGGCAGGCCUAACACAUGCAAGUCGAGCGGAUGAUGGGAGCUUGCUCCUGGAUUCAGCGGCGGACGGGUGAGUAAUGCCUAGGAAUCUGCCUGGUAGUGGGGGACAACGUUUCGAAAGGAACGCUAAUACCGCAUACGUCC